Molecule: ribosomal RNA, 301 nt
Filed under: uncultured bacterium
Lineage: Bacteria
Description: partial 16S ribosomal RNA
Rfam family: Bacterial small subunit ribosomal RNA
Source: RNAcentral
CAGUAGCCGCGGUAAUACGUAGGUGGCAAGCGUUAUCCGGAAUUAUUGGGCGUAAAGCGCGCGUAGGCGGUUUUUUAAGUCUGAUGUGAAAGCCCCCGGCUCAACCGGGGAGGGUCAUUGGAAACUGGGAAACUUGAGUGCAGAAGAGGAGAGUGGAAUUCCACGUGUAGCGGUGAAAUGCGUAGAGAUGUGGAGGAACACCAGUGGCGAAGGCGACUCUCUGGUCUGUAGCUGACGCUGAGGAGCGAAAGCGUGGGGAGCGAACAGGAUUAGAUACCCGGGUAGUCCCUGUCUCUUAUAC